RNAcentral lists this ribosomal RNA (463 nucleotides) under Vreelandella stevensii. RNAcentral describes it as "partial 16S ribosomal RNA". It matches the Rfam family "Bacterial small subunit ribosomal RNA", at positions 340 to 795 of the family's 1533-position model. Lineage: Bacteria; Pseudomonadati; Pseudomonadota; Gammaproteobacteria; Oceanospirillales; Halomonadaceae. The record is from RNAcentral.
UACGGGUGGCAGCAGUGGGGAAUAUUGGACAAUGGGCGAAAGCCUGAUCCAGCCAUGCCGCGUGUGUGAAGAAGGCCUUCGGGUUGUAAAGCACUUUCAGUGGGGAAGAAAGCCUUGGGGCUAAUACCCUCGAGGAAGGACAUCACCCACAGAAGAAGCACCGGCUAACUCCGUGCCAGCAGCCGCGGUAAUACGGAGGGUGCGAGCGUUAAUCGGAAUUACUGGGCGUAAAGCGCGCGUAGGCGGUCUGAUAAGCCGGUUGUGAAAGCCCCGGGCUCAACCUGGGAACGGCAUCCGGAACUGUCAGGCUAGAGUGCAGGAGAGGAAGGUAGAAUUCCCGGUGUAGCGGUGAAAUGCGUAGAGAUCGGGAGGAAUACCAGUGGCGAAGGCGGCCUUCUGGACUGACACUGACGCUGAGGUGCGAAAGCGUGGGUAGCAAACAGGAUUAGAUACCCCAGUAGUC